This is a long non-coding RNA of Halichondria panicea, 3458 nucleotides long. RefSeq lists it as uncharacterized. The transcript is spliced from 3 exons. Lineage: Eukaryota; Metazoa; Porifera; Demospongiae; Suberitida; Halichondriidae. The record is from RefSeq and is a predicted model, not a curated record.
ACUGACUGCUUGCGCAUGCGCAAAAUAUUCCCGUAAUGUUUCCCAUUAAACUGAAUUUUACCCGAAUUAUAUCCUGAAUAACAUAAAUUAUACAGACAAACUUCAUAAAGUCAGACACAGAGCUAUAUAGCUAGCUAGCUAGAUACAGAGCUGUAUUGGUUACAGCAGCAAUUUCUUUCUGAUAGAGUCGACUUUCACCAAGGUUAGUGUCAGAUGGGCGUGGCCUAUCCAUAUACAUGUAGGCUAUUGUCAGCCUUCCCCUCCGUUCAGAGGUCCACACUGUUGCAGGCUGUGAGUCCUUUGUUAACAUAGUAGGCUAAGGGUAGCUAUUAGAAUGCUAUCACACGGGCUAGUUGGGCGGAGUCCAACCAACGCUGCGCUCUGGGUUGGGUAUCAGUACAUGUAGCAGUUUUGUUCCACCGGUACUUGAGACAGAGUAUGAAUAUUGUUUAAUCUUUAAGUGGCUGACAACCGCAUGGCUCAGGGGUGCGAUAUAAAGAAAUCAAUUAACUAUUUGGAUGGCUAUUCUAGCUGACUGGAUCUAGCUAUAGUUGUUUUGGAAUUCAAGAAAGACCUCAGACUCUUAGAGAAAGUAGAAGAAUACUGUAGCCUGUAAUAUAAGAUUUAGUACAGGCAGAAAUAAACUUUUUCAUAAUAGUUAGACAUCUAGCACAAGGAGAGGUACAGCCAGCUAUAAGACUACCCCAAGGCUUCUGAGAAGCUUUUCGAAGACCAAAGAAGGCAUACAUAACACAGGUUUUGUCCAAACUAAUGAUCUAAUCUUAUUGGUAGCACAACAAAACUUAAAACAAAGACAAGUCCUUUUAAUUAAUUAAUACAUACUGUUCAAGCUUCAUUCAUAGAUGCUAAGAUAGACUAUGCUUCUUUUCUAGUAGCCUAGAUAUCCAGCAGGAGCUGUUUCUGCAUUCUCCAGAGAAAUACAGUGUCCCAGCUCGCCUUGUCAGCUAAAUUGAGCUGUAAGGUUUCCCACUUGAACGCAGCAAUCUGAUUGGGCUGCAAAUUUCUUGCAGUGGGAACAAAACUGCUACAUGUACUGAUACCCAACCAUGAGCGAAGCGUUGGUUGGACUCCGCCCAACUACACACGGGCUACAAUCACACUUCUAUCCACUUUCUUCAAUCCACUUCCGUUCGUUGUGACGUCAUUGUUUUACUGAGCAAAAUACAAUGGUAUCCGAAUUACCAACUUUCUGGGUAAUAGGUGGCGCAUGCGCAAACAGUCGAUACCAGGCCCUCUCUUAGCGGCCUGGAAUCGAGGCUAGUGCGAGACUAACUGUGCAGAUAGUGAAUAACCAUUAUUCAAGCUCUAUUUACCGUUGCAACUAUCUUCUUCAUUGAAUUUAGCAAUACCUCACAAGCCGAAACUUACUGAGUACGCUGAAGAAAAGAAGACAAAAGAAUACCCCUCUUCUCUACACCCCUACACGUACGUCACCGCCCUCGUAAAUGUUAUCGGCUGUUUCGGCUAUAUAUACACCCUUGUAUACCUCACCAGCUUCUCUCCAUCUAAGACUGUCUGAUUAGAGUAAACUAAUCAUAAUUAUAGCUAUAAUAAUCAUUUUUAUUGUGUAAGUUUUUGUUAAUAUUGUUCGGUUUGAUCCCACUCGUUUUACACUUAAAAAGCAACUGGCAGUGCUGUGGAGUGUUUUGCUGUCUCCAAGUGUAUGUAAUUAUACUUAAUGAAUUGGAAAUUGAAAUGUACGCUCACCAGCCUAUAUAGUAUAUAGAAACUUCGUACAAUUGAUUUAUCAAAAGUGAAAACAAUUAUUAAGAAAGUUACAUGGUGUAUUAUGUAUCUUGUCAUGUGAAUGAUCAUGGUUAUUGCCUCAAACUAGUGGACUUCUUGAUGGUUUUCUUUUUCAUUUAAGUUGGCAGCAAAAGAGAAGCCUCUGACAGUCACAAAUACAUUCACAAUUUCAGGGAACUUACUAAGCAUCCUCUGAUGAUUUUAUAUCUACUGUGAAACAAGUAUCCAAUAUGCACUAGCUCUGCACAUUCUCCUUACUAUUACCAUGUACCAAUGCACUGUUGAUUGUGUCUCUUUCCCUCUUCUUUCACCGCUAAUGCAACUAGUGUUCAAGCUGGCGCUGUACUAAUGCCUCUCGCCAUGUUUUUGCUUUCGCUCAAAAGUAUUAGAGUGUUAUAUUAGUUUCUAUAAUGACUUUUAUAUUAAAGUUAGCUUAUCUAUAUAAAGUCACUGAGAAGAAAAGACUUAUUUACAUGCAUCUAUUGUUGUUAUUAUUUAUUGUAUUGUGUGGCUUACCAGGACCUCAAGAAAGAAGAAAAUUGAUUCUUCCAGGAUCUGUAGUUCAGUGUAUAUAAUAUCUAAGAAGAAAAGACCUGUGUACAUGCAUAUUGUUAUCUAUAUUGUUAUAUGGUAGUGUUUUGUGGCUUACCAGGCCCUAAAGACAAAGAUGAUUCUGCCAAGAGGAUCUGGAUCUGGAUCUUGGAUAUUAUUUUCUCACACAUGGGGAAUGAGCGCGCAUGCGCAUUACAUCCAUAGGAAUAAUUAAAGGGUGUGUUCGUAGACAUGAAAGCGACUAAAUACAGGAAUAUGUCCAAUGUCCACCUUUGAACCUUGGAUAUAAACACACGUUUUAAUGGUAAAAAACGGUUAAUAUUCAAACUGUCAAAUCACCAUUUUCCGUUCAGAGCUUGAGAGAUAUAUGAGAGCUAGCUAGCUAGCUAGUUAGGGCCUGGGGCUAGAGGGAACAGACUGCAGUCAUUGCUAGCCUCCUUGUGGUGAACCAUGUAUCCUCUACUAUCUAUGGCACAAGUCGUACUGUACAAGUGAAAGCAAUCCUUGAGAUCUGCAAUGUCUUGGUCUACAAAGAGUCUGUCGUUCACUUCUCAUUUCUGGAUUCUUUACCCAUGUUCCUGUGCAUCAUUGCUGUGUGGCUUGUGCUACACUGAGUACAUAUUCAAAUUUUGAGUGGAGUUCUACUGGGGGUAUUGUAGCAUUGUCCUUGGGACCGAGGCUAUAGGACAAAUCAGACUGCUCUGCCUCAUAAGUGAAGAGGCGAACACAAAUUAAUGGCAGAAUGUUCUUUCACAAUAAUGAUUGUUUUUUGUGCAAUAAAACAAUGUUUGCUGUAUUAAUUUCAAUAGUCUUACAACAUGUUGGGAUGCAUGAGCACAUUAAUUUUAAUACCCUGUAUGGAUCUGCACUAGAUCUAGUAUUAAUUGAAGAUUUAAAGUUUCAUGUGCUUCUUGUCAUAAUCCUCUGGAGCCGCCCGCGCCCCCACAUCACAGACAAAAAUUAAUUAUAAGGUCAAAGUUCAUGGACAUAUUCCUGUCUUUAGGCUUUCGUAAAGAGAUCAAUUUCACAAAUGGCUACUGCUAGCUAGCUGUUUUAACAGAUAUUUUCUGAGUAUUGUAGCUAACAAAAAGCUAGCGCUUUAGUACAAGGCUAACUCAUAUGUUGAAUAGAAAGUUUGU